This 253-nucleotide ribosomal RNA is filed under the name uncultured bacterium. Its description in RNAcentral is "partial 16S ribosomal RNA". It matches the Rfam family "Bacterial small subunit ribosomal RNA", at positions 524 to 776 of the family's 1533-position model. The record is from RNAcentral.
CACGGGGGGAGCAAGCGUUGUUCGGAAUCACUGGGCGUAAAGGGCGUGUAGGCGGUCAGGUAAGUGAGAUGUGAAAUGCCCCGGCUCACCCGGGGACCGGCAUCUCAUACUGCUUGGCUUGAGUACGGGAGAGGGUGUGGGAAUUCCUGGUGUAGCGGUGAAAUGCGUAGAUAUCAGGAGGAACACCGGUGGCGAAGGCGCACACCUGGCCCGAUACUGACGCUGAGGCGCGAAAGCUAGGGGAGCAAACGGG